ACGGGAGGCAGCAGUGGGGAAUAUUGGGCAAUGGGCGAAAGCCUGACCCAGCAACGCCGCGUGAAGGAAGAAGGCCUUCGGGUUGUAAACUUCUUUUGUCAGGGACGAAGGACGUGACGGUACCUGACGAAUAAGCAACGGCUAACUACGUGCCAGCAGCCGCGGUAAUACGUAGGUUGCAAGCGUUGUCCGGAUUUACUGGGUGUAAAGGGCGUGUAGGCGGAUCUGCAAGUCAGAUGUGAAAUCCCGGGGCUCAACCCCGGAACUGCAUUUGAAACUGUUGAUCUUGAGUAUCGGAGAGGCAAUCGGAAUUCCUAGUGUAGCGGUGAAAUGCGUAGAUAUUAGGAGGAACACCAGUGGCGAAGGCGGAUUGCUGGACGACAACUGACGGUGAGGCGCGAAAGCGUAGGGAGCAAACAGGAUUAGAUACCCUGGUA
RNAcentral lists this ribosomal RNA (437 nucleotides) under uncultured Oscillospiraceae bacterium. RNAcentral's name for it is "bacterial SSU rRNA". It matches the Rfam family "Bacterial small subunit ribosomal RNA", at positions 341 to 792 of the family's 1533-position model. Lineage: Bacteria; Bacillati; Bacillota; Clostridia; Eubacteriales; Oscillospiraceae. The record is from RNAcentral.